This 506-nucleotide ribosomal RNA is filed under the name uncultured bacterium. RNAcentral describes it as "partial 16S ribosomal RNA". It matches the Rfam family "Bacterial small subunit ribosomal RNA", at positions 30 to 523 of the family's 1533-position model. The record is from RNAcentral.
AUUGAACGCUGGCGGCAGGCCUAACACAUGCAAGUCGAACGGUAACAGGAAUCAGCUUGCUGAUUCGCUGACGAGUGGCGGACGGGUGAGUAAUGUCUGGGAGACUGCCUGAUGGAGGGGGAUAACUACUGGAAACGGUAGCUAAUACCGCAUAACGUCGCAAGACCAAAGAGGGGGACCUUCGGGCCUCUUGCCAUCGGAUGUGCCCAGAUGGGAUUAGCUAGUAGGUGGGGUAACGGCUCACCUAGGCGACGAUCCCUAGCUGGUCUGAGAGGAUGACCAGCCACACUGGAACUGAGAGACGGUCCAGACUCCUACGGGAGGCAGCAGUGGGGAAUAUUGCACAAUGGGCGCAAGCCGGAUGCAGCCAUGCCGCGUGUAUGAAGAAGGCCUUCGGGUUGUAAAGUACUUUCAGCGAGGAGGAAGGUGUUGUGGUUAAUAACCGCAGCAAUUGACGUUACUCGCAGAAGAAGCACCGGCUAACUCCGUGCCAGCAGCCGCAGUAA